AAUGAUACAUGUGUGUCCAUACGACAUAGUGAUUAGCAGCAUGAGGUGCUGAGCACAUCGCGUGUGUGUCUGUAUGUGUGCGCUGAUAUGUGGUUCAUGAAGAACAAACUGAUUAAGCAUGCUCCAAAGCUACGAGCGACUGAACUAGGUUGAAACCAAGAGGGCAUUGUAAACUUUGAUGACACUUUGUGGGAAACCAAUUACUUCAUGGCCAGAGGUGAUUUUGGAAUGGAGAUUUCAGUUGAGAAGAUAUCCCUUGCACAGAAAAUGAUGAUCUACAAGUGCAACCUUGCUGGUGAGCCUGUUGUCACAGCGAUUGUAGGCAACAUCCAUUCCAAUUGUCCAUUGGUUUAACUGCAGUUUUUUAUGUACAAUUUAUAGGCCGGACUGAUUUUUUUUACUUGCCCUGAUGAAGCUGUAGACUAUACACAUAAGUUGCUGAUUUUGCAUGCUAUACUUGUGUAAAUGUUGUUCCACCUUCCCACUUUGUAAUUUCAUGGCCAUUUCAGAUGAUCUAGACAUUUAAUGUAUGGAAUUUACAUUGGCACUAAAUAAGGAAUAUUGAAAGAUAGUAUGCCACAAUA
Molecule: non-coding RNA, 584 nt
Organism: Triticum urartu
Lineage: Eukaryota; Viridiplantae; Streptophyta; Magnoliopsida; Poales; Poaceae
Source: RefSeq, a predicted model, not a curated record